UCUUGAAAAAUGAGAAGAAAGAGAGGUUGAAUUGUAACAUGGAUACAUUUUGGACUGGAUGCCAGCCACUUGAAUAAGGACUGCAUCUGAGCUGCAAGCGGAAGACACAGUAGAUGUGACAUUGACUGUGAACUGCACAUGAAGCAAGUGCAACCUCAGGCCUGCCUUGCUUCAGAAGGUGGGUAGCUAUGUCUUGCCCUCUUUACAAGUUGAAAAGUGGGGAAACAAUGCAAUGGCUUGAUCAUAAGGUCACUUUCUCUCCAAUCGA
This 268-nucleotide long non-coding RNA is filed under the name Homo sapiens (human). RNAcentral describes it as "HSALNT0218450". Lineage: Eukaryota; Metazoa; Chordata; Mammalia; Primates; Hominidae. The record is from RNAcentral.